UACGAAGCGCCGGAUCGCCGGGCAAAGCAGAACGCUGCGAGAGGUCCGAGCGAUCGGUUGGACUCUGCAAAUUUAUAAUACAGUCGACUCGAGAGAAAUUGCAGAAACCCGAGAAGGGUUUUUGUAUCAAAUCAAAAGUUCGCUGCUCUGAGGAGGCGAUCAGGGAGUCGUAGCCCUGGAAAGGACAUCGUCAACGUGGCCGUCGAGACGUGGCUCCGAUUUCGACGUACCCGCAAUACAGAUCCUAAAGCCAUCCAACGCGCCAACGCCACUACUCCGAGCGCAGAGCAUCAGUGAUCGACGCAUUGUAAGCGAACGAAUUUGAAUCGAAGUUAUAGAUAUCGAGCCGGCCAUUCAAAUAGUAGCGGAGACAAGCUUGUCUUUUAGAGCAAAGCCACAUUUAAUUUGUUGACGACGAUAGCGCGCUGCGCAAGUCAAAGCAUGUAUGUGAGUGUGUGUGAUUUGAUAAAUGUGCAUGCGCGCAUAUAAUUUUUUUUUAAGAUUAGUUCGACGAACGACGGUAUCCCAGUUGUGCCUCGUAGAAUUUUGUACUCAAAAUAACAACGUACCUUAUUUUAUUUGAAAUAUACAUAUAUUUAUUCUCCCUAUACAUCCAUUUAUUACAAAUGUUAACAUUUUUGAAAGUAUUUACAGCGAUCACAAGCCAUUAUGGUUUGGAUUACAAAUAAAUAGUAUGUGAAUUCAAAUACAACAGUUCUUUGAUUUUAAAGUAACCAUUUUAUUAAUGAUACGAUACAACGAGAUGAAUAAUGAAACACUUUAUGAAAUCAUAUUAAUUACAAUAAUUGAAUUAUUCAUAUUCAUAUACUAGAUAACAUUUAAAAUUCAAAAAGUAAAAUCAACUGAAUUUAUAGCCCUAGCAUUAUUCCUUUUAAAAAAACAGGCUAACCUCGCCUGAUAUAUGUUGCAUUACAGGAUUUAAAUACAUACAGAACAAAUUAGCAACUAUAAAUUCAGUUGAUAAAAUUUUAUAUGAUUUCAUAAAAAAAAUAUAUUAGAUUCUUAUUUUAUAAAUAAAAUAUAAAAUAUAUUAAUCAAUUAAUAAUAAUUAAGACAAAGUUUUAGUUAUCAAACAAAAUAUAUUUUAUUUAAGUAAAUCAAUAAAAAUAUUCGAAUGAAACUGAGUAGCUUUAUUUAGAUUGUGCAAUUGACGAAUGUGAAAAAAUUAAUCUGUUUCAUAAGAAUACGAAUUUCUUCUAUACAACAUGGGUCAGGUGUUGUUGUAAUGCGCACAAGAAAAAGCAAUGCCACUUUUUUAUGUAAUUAAACGAAUUUUAUUGAUAUAAGGAUGACACGUCUAGCCUCUCUCGUAGUCGAGAAAAAAGUGCUCAAUUUUCCGAGCUCUUUCCUGUUUUUGCCAAAACAUCUCCAUGGAAACUCAAUGUUCUCAUUUCGAUUAUGAUUUUUACUCCAUUUCCUUUCUUGUUUUCGAACGCUUCUAUGGCACACCGUCCGUAAGAGGACAAUUUCCUCUUACCCCGUAGCUAUCACCAUUAUUUGGUUAUCAGAACCAUAGUGGUGAGAGAAUAGUGGCCCCGGACAAACCACAUCGAAUGCCGUGCACACAAGCCUACACAACAGCAUCAACUUUGGGUGUAUUCCGUUUUGUCUCGAGAUUCUCGAGACAUAACGAAACGUUCCGAUAUGUAGUUCUGAAACGCGAAACGGAACGUUCCAAUAUAAUCCGCUGUUGGCGCUGCUGGCAGUAUUGCGAAUCGUGAUACUGCGUGAGCGCGCGAGGUCGACUAGCUAUGUAACAUCGUGUUCAUACCGGCAAGCCUCUCCGGGGUUUUGGCUGCUGUUUUCGUUGAUCGUUUUGAGUCUCGUCUCGUUAUCGCCUCGUCGUGUUUUAAGAAGUGGUGAAGACCUGGUUCUGAACAUUUUAGCUGCAAAGCGAUAAUUCGACUAUUGUUUCAUGCAAAGUUGUAAAGGGAUCUCGGCCCGUUGCAUGGACAUGGUUGCCGGUAUGAACACGAGAUUACAGCUAGUCACGCUCGCGCACUUUCACGAUUCGCAGUACUGCCAGCAGCGCCAACAGCGGAUUAUAUUGGAACGUUCCGUUUUGCGUUUCAGCACUACAUAUCGGAACGUUCCGUUAUGUCUCGAGAAUCUCGAGACAAAACGGAAUACACCCUUUAUCUGCUGUGUCGAAACGCUCUCAAAUUCUUAGAAUCUUAUUUGCAAAACAGGAGAGAACUUAAAAAUUUCAGCGAAAUAAAAAACACUUCAUUUCUGCUUAAACUUAUUAUUCAUUCUGUUACAGUUGUAUAAUAUCAACAUAUACAUAUGGUUUGGUGAGUAUAUUGAAAAUACUAUUAUUUAUAUAAAAUAUAUAUUUUUUGCAGCAAGGAACAGCGUCUCUCACCACGUCGCAACCGGUAAUCAGAAUAGCAAAAAAAAAAACCGAUGUCUUCUUUCAUCGUCAAGUCUUACCCCAUUACAGUUCGUCAAUAAUAUUUGAAUAUCUGCAUACUUUGUGUGUGUGUGUGCACGCGCGUCUGUGUGUAUGUAUAUAUAGGUGUGUGUUCAUCGGCGAACCUUUAAAUAUUGGCGAGUGCCCUAUGUGAAAAGCAAAGCGUUCCGCUUUUAGCGUUCGAUUCGUCAGAGCGUCAGGAAAUUUUGUGACCCAGUGUGAUUAAUUACUUUUUUGAAAAUGCUUUAUUGCAUAAAUAAUAAGCAUUUUAAAAUUGCAUUCCGAGGAGACACUAACUAAAAAAUUUACAAGUCGGUAAAUAUUGAUGGAAAUGUCCAGUUUUGCUACUCGGGAGGUUUUGGGGUCGCUGAACACGAAUAUGACAACGGCAGCGGCCUUUAAGGUACCUGGUACCCAGGGUAGACCAUAUGAACGUCGUCUCCUAGAGUUUCACGAAAAAUCAACAACAUAUUUCGUCGAGACUUUUUAUAUGGGGGUUUUCGAGGUAAAAGAACAAGAAUAUUGUGACGGCAACUCUCCCAGAGGUACUUUGUAUCCAGGGUAGAUAGUGUCAAUGUCGUCUCCUUGAGUUUUGUGGGAAUUUGAUAGUAAUUAAGUCAAAUAUGUUACUCAGGGAUUUCUCGGGCCACUGAACAUGGAUAUAGUGUUUUACUCAAGAUAAUUCUAGAAGACAACGUUGAUACUGUCUACCCUGGGCACCAGGUACCUCAGAGGCCAUCGCCGUCGCCAUAUUCAUGUUCAGGGACCCCAAAAACCCCCGAGUGACGAGUUUCGAGUUGAUAUGUUACAAUUUUCCGUAAAAUUCUCGGAGACGACGGUCUACCCUGGGCACCAGGUACCUCGGAGGCCGUCGCCGUAUUCGUGUUGAGCGACCCCAAAAACUCCCGAGUAGCAAAACUGGACUCAUUUCCAUCAAUAUUUAGCGAGUGAAUGAAAACGAUAAAAAUGACGUAAAAGUAGUAGUUGAGAAAAGGACUAUUCGCGUACUCUUGCUCAAAUAUACAAAAUAAAAUUUUAAAGUCAAUUUGUAGUAAAUAUCGUUCCUUUGCUGAGUACUGAGUAAAAACUCAAUGACAGAGUUUUUGCAUUUUGAAAUUACAGUCCUUGAGGAACGAAUUAGUGCAACAGAUUCUUUUUUUAGUAAGUUUUCUGUAUUCAAUACAAAAAUACAUUUCGCCCUAGAUAAUAGUCAACUCUAGAAGUUGAUUUAAUGAGUUCACAUACAAUUUACAAUAAUUAUUAUUUAAAAAUUGACUGAAAAUACUGAACUCCCAUAUACCACCAAUAGUCUACGAAAGUUUUUAAAUCUUCAUGCGUCUAUUCUUCGUCUAAUGUUCGCGCGGCUGCAUCGAGUAAUAAUGAUACCACGUAAAAGAAUAUUUUAUUAUAAUGCAUCAGAAAUUAUAAAAUUAAAAACUAAAAAUUGACUUUGAAAUGUCGGUAGCAUUUGAAUCGGAUGUUUAUUUUUCAAGCAAUUAAAUUGCUUUACUAACAGCCUAAAAACAUCCAGUAAUCAUUUUUUAAAGAGCGAUAAUAACCGUAUAUUUACUACUAAAAUUUCUAAAUAGAUUUAAUUCUAUGUGCUUCGUUAGCUAUAAACAUACUUUUAGAAUUGAAAUUUAUAGAACUAUAAUGCAUUAAACCAUUAUGACAAUUCUAAAUUUAUAGUAAUAUCAUUUGUCUACACUUUAAAAUUAAAAGUACAUUUUAAUAUGAAAAAUUCAAGUACGUUUUAAACAUACUGGGAGGGGGAUAUGUUAUUUUAGAAAAGUGAGUGCUUCCUCAAUUGAAAUAUACGAAAAAUUUAUUUACAUAGAAACAUUAAUACAAAUACGUAUUUGUUACAAUAUUAUAACUGCUGCACUGAUUCUGUAUACGUCUUGCGUUAUAUUUUCAGGCGAAAGGUUCCAUGUCACGUGCGUUGCGUUGCAAAAUAUAUUGAAAUAAAAACAUGCGUAUCAGUUGCAAAAUAAUAUUUUUAACAAAUAAAAUAAAAUGAAACUUAUGAUGCACUGA
This is a long non-coding RNA of Nasonia vitripennis (jewel wasp), 4471 nucleotides long. RefSeq lists it as uncharacterized. The transcript has 2 exons. NCBI's taxonomy places the organism in Eukaryota, Metazoa, Arthropoda, Insecta, Hymenoptera, Pteromalidae. The record is from RefSeq and is a predicted model, not a curated record.